Molecule: unclassified non-coding RNA, 254 nt
Filed under: Hevea brasiliensis (rubber tree)
Lineage: Eukaryota; Viridiplantae; Streptophyta; Magnoliopsida; Malpighiales; Euphorbiaceae
Source: RNAcentral
GUGUCACAUCAUAAACUGCAAUAACAGCAAACUGCUGAUUAUACUUUGGGUAUUCAUACAUAUUUCAAAAUAUGCUACAAACAUAAUCCAACAACGAUUGGCAGAAUAACAGUGAAAAUUUUGGCCAAUAGCACAUCCGUGACCAGAAUAAUCGAACAUCAGUUUCAUGUCAGUUAAAAAUGCACUAACUAGUCAACCACAACAAUAUGCAAGUGUAAGCAAUCAGAUGCUCAUAAAUGAGUAAAAAAAAAAAA